Molecule: ribosomal RNA, 433 nt
Filed under: uncultured bacterium
Lineage: Bacteria
Description: partial 16S ribosomal RNA
Rfam family: Bacterial small subunit ribosomal RNA
Source: RNAcentral
AGCGAACGCUGGCGGCAGGCCUAACACAUGCAAGUCGAACGAACCUUUCGGGGUUAGUGGCGGACGGGUGAGUAACACGUGGGAACGUGCCUUUAGGUUCGGAAUAACUCAGGGAAACUUGUGCUAAUACCGAAUGUGCCCUUCGGGGGAAAGAUUUAUCGCCUUUAGAGCGGCCCGCGUCUGAUUAGCUAGUUGGUUGAGGUAAUGGCUCACCAAGGCGACGAUCAGUAGCUGGUCUGAGAGGAUGAUCAGCCACAUUGGGACUGAGACACGGCCCAAACUCCUACGGGAGGCAGCAGUGGGGAAUCUUGCGCAAUGGGCGAAAGCCUGACGCAGCCAUACCGCGUGAAUGAUGAAUGUCUUAGGAUUGUAAAAUUCUUUCACCGGGGACGAUAAUGACGGUACCCGGAGAAGAAGCCCCGGCUAACUUCGU